Molecule: non-coding RNA, 73 nt
Organism: Stegodyphus mimosarum
Lineage: Eukaryota; Metazoa; Arthropoda; Arachnida; Araneae; Eresidae
Source: Rfam
GCCUUCGUGGUGUAGUGGUCAGCACGCUCGGCGCGUAUUCGAGAGGUCCGUGGUUCAAGUCCCGGCGAGGGCA